RNAcentral lists this long non-coding RNA (1861 nucleotides) under Homo sapiens (human). Its description in RNAcentral is "HSALNT0157416". The record is from RNAcentral. Lineage: Eukaryota; Metazoa; Chordata; Mammalia; Primates; Hominidae.
CGCUUCUCUACCUCAAGAAAGAAUUCACGAAACCUCUCUUAAGCCAGCUGCUCUGGGGCUGACCUCCUGCACAUCCUCUGAGGCAGGUGCCUGGGCUUUUCACCUGGACAACAGGGCGAGACUGGGGAGUCGCUUGCACCCAUUUUCAUAAAAUUAUGACCAAGAAAACAGCGGCUGCAAUCUGAUUGUUGCUGAUGUCUUAGAGAUCAUCCUCAGACUUACUGGACUAAACAGCCAUUCUCAACACCCGAUGAUACCCUCCAAGGGCCCAUUCCUCCUCCUUAAGAAAUGCCUGAAGUCAGGUGGAUUGAAAUGGAAUCAAAUACAAAGAAGUCUGCAGGAUUUUCAUGGGAGUUGCACAGGCUCUAGGGACAACAGCAUGGACUAAAAGGCACUGAAAUUACCCCAAACACAAAGAGAUCUGCAGGCUUCCAGAUUAUCUUGGGGUAGGGGCAGACUGGGAAAUCUACCCAGCCACUGAAAUGGCUCCUUUCUUCAGAAAUCCAGAUGCCACAUAAGGUGAUGGAGAAGAAAGGACAUCUCAGAGUGUGAACCCAGGAGCCAUGCAGACCAGUGGACUGAGGAAUGACUCUGGGGGUCAAUGAGGCCCAAAUCAAAGUGCAAUGCUCUCUCCUGGAGGUGCCAGCAUUUGCCCUGUGGAUUUCAGAAUUACUAAAGACCAGUGACUGCUCUGUGCUUCUGUGCUCCAUCCUUGCAAGUGUUUCUUUCUGUGGAGGUCCUUAUUGUGGUUAUUCUCUCUCACCAUUGUACGUUCAAGGUGACUACAACACAGAGAUCACCCACUGCUAAGAUCAGCUUGUUCUGUCCCCCAGAGAGGUGGCUGAUGGUGAUGGUAGGAUCUUGAAGCUUCAUCAUGAUAUGGUAAUUAAAUGGGACUUUUGAAGGUCUUGGAAGCAUAUGAUUACAACACAGAAACUGAAUAGUUAAAGCCAGAGGUGGGUGACAGUGGAUCAAUCGCAUUGACAGCCAUAAUCGAUGAACCCUUUUCAAUGGGAGCAUCUCCUCCAGUCCCAAGGGGGAUUCUAUUUUCUCACCUGUGAAUCAGGCUUGAACUUGCUUUGACAGCAGAAUGGUUGAGUGUCUCUGUGUCACUUCCCCGCCUGGCCCCUGGAGGUCGUUCUCUUCUGCUUGCUGUCUUGCAGGUUUCAUUUGCUGUCUUGUGGGCCUUGCUUCUGCUGAUAACCCUUCCUUCUGGUUAGUUGGCCGCAGGAGGAGAGACCACAGGCAGCCCAGCUGGAUCAGCUCAGAGCAGGUCAUCCUAGAACACUCAUGCAGAUGACAGGCAGCUGGACAAGGGUGUAUGCCUGAGCCUGGCCUGGGGAACAGAGCAAAAUAGCUGAUGCAGAGACCUAAAUAUUCAUAGAACAAAAAGUGAAAAUUAUUUGAAUGCUGCAUUAGUCAAUUCAUAACAGGAAAAUUGCAAGUGCAUUAUAAUUUUUCUAUUUUGAAACACAGGAACUUUUUGCGGGGAUUUACAAGUGGUUUCAUAAGCCAUCGUGUGUGUGUGUGUGUGUGUGGAUGUGUAGCACAAUGAGUAAAUAACAUCAGUUUUUAUGUAUUUGUAAAUGUUAGUUAAUUAGUGAAUUAAACCUUUUUAAAACCCACCCGUACAAUUUGUAUGUAGCAAAUAAAAGGAGAGAAAUAUAAAACACAAUUUAUAAAUUUAUAUACAAAGUAUAAUUUGAGCAAGUUGUGUAAAGAUUAUGAAAUAUGAAGAUUUUGUUCUUCAUAGUUAUGAAAUUAAUGAUUUCAUACUAUCUUUAGAGUAAUUUAAGAAUGUGUAAAAAAUGGCUCCAUUAUGGAAUUUUGUAUAUUUAUUUAAUCUAUUUCUUGUCCCAAU